AUGUCUGCGCCCAGCGUGACCCCCAUCCCCAUCACCACCAUCUCCGAGCUGAAGCAGCACCACUCGCAGCUCGUCCGCCUCGGCCUCGCCUCGCACCCCGCCCACGCGCGCCGCCUCCUCGCCUUCCUCGCGCGCGACCCGGCCGGCCUCCCCUACGCCGCGCGCCUCCUCGCGCACCACCCGGACCCGCACCCGGCGCUCUUCAACCCGCUCCUCGCCUCCCUCCCGCCGCGCCACGCCGCGGCGUUCCUCUCCCUCAUGCUCUCCCUGCCCCUGCACCCCGACCACUUCACCCUGCCCCGCAUCCUCCCCGCCGCGCCGCUCCCGCUCGCCGCCCAGCUCCACGCGCUCCUCCUCAAGCUCAACUUCCACUCCCACGCGCACUCCUUCAACGCGCUCCUCGCCGCCUACCUCGCCAACGCGCGCGCGGACCUCGCCUUCCGCCUCUUCGGCGGCGGCGGCUCGUCGGCGGUCCUCGACGUCGUGUCGUGGACCACCAUGGUGGGCGGGCUGUGCAGGCUGGGCCUCGUGGACGACGCGCGGGAGCUGUUCGACGGAAUGCCCGAGAGAAACCUUAUUUCCUGGAACGCGAUGAUCUCCGGGUAUGUCAAGGCUGGGCGGUUCUUGGACGCGCUGGAGGUGUUUGACCAAAUGAGGGCGACGGGGCUGGAGGGGAAUGGGUUUGUCGCGGCGAGCGCGGUGGUGGCGUGCACGGGUGCUGGCGCGCUGGCCCGUGGGAGGGAGGUGCACCGGUGGGUGGAGCAGAGCGGGAUACAGAUGGAUGCGAAGCUAGCCACAGCGGUGGUCGACAUGUACUGCAAGUGUGGGUCUGUCGAGGAGGCAUGGCGCGUAUUCCAGCGGCUGCCGACGAAGGGGCUCACGUCGUGGAACUGUAUGAUCGGUGGGUUGGCGGUGCACGGGAGGUGCAAGGACGCCAUUGAGUUGUUCCACCAGAUGGAGAGGGAAGAUGUGGCGCCCGAUGAUGUCACGCUGGUGAACGUCCUCACUGCCUGCGCCCACACCGGCAAUGUCAGCGGCGGUCGCCACUACUUCGACUACAUCGUGCAGAGAUACGGCAUUGAGCCCAAGAUGGAGCAUUACGGCUGCAUGGUCGACCUGUUCGGGAGGGCAGGGCUGCUGGACGAAGCCAAGAAGGUGAUCGACGAUAUGCCGAUGGAGCCUGACAUUGGUGUCCUCGGAGCACUCUUCGGAGCAUGCAAGAUCCACAGGGACCUCGAUCUAGGCGAGGCGAUCGGAUGGCGUGUCAUCGAGCUGGAUCCCCAGAACAGCGGACGGUACAUGCUGCUGGCCAACCUCCUUGCCAGCGCCGGCCGAUGGGGAGACGUGGCCAGGGUCCGGCAGCUGAUGGACGAGCGCAACGUGAGCAAGGAGGCGGGGCGGUCCGUGAUCGAGAUCGACAGCGAGGUCUGUGAGUUCCAGUGCGGGACCCUGCGCCAUCCCGAGGAGAAGGAGAUAUUCGCCAUGGCGAAGGACAUGAUGAGGAAGAUCGGGCUGGAGGGCUACGCGCCGGACACCAGCGACGUGCUGCACGACGUCGCGGAGGAAGCGAAGGAGGCGUCGCUGCUGUACCACAGCGAGAAGCUGGCCAUCGCGUUCGGGCUGCUGCGCACGAGGCCAGGUGAUACGAUGCGCGUCACGAAGAACCUGCGGGUUUGUCGAGACUGCCAUGAGGCUACCAAGUUGAUAUCUCGAGUGUUUGAGCGGGAGAUCGUGGUGAGGGACAGGAACCGGUUCCAUCAUUUCAGGGAUGGGGUGUGUUCGUGUAAUGAUUAUUGGUGA
Molecule: ribosomal RNA, 1800 nt
Filed under: Triticum aestivum (bread wheat)
Lineage: Eukaryota; Viridiplantae; Streptophyta; Magnoliopsida; Poales; Poaceae
Description: partial small subunit ribosomal RNA
Source: RNAcentral